This 327-nucleotide ribosomal RNA is filed under the name uncultured Glomeromycotina. Its description in RNAcentral is "LSU rRNA". The record is from RNAcentral. Lineage: Eukaryota; Fungi; Glomeromycota.
UUGAAAGGGAAACGAUUGAAGUCAGUCGUGCGGUCACCGACUCAACGGCUAUGGAGGUGCUUGACACGAAAGUGUUAAGAAUCGACAUAGCCGUGUAUUUUGGUGUCUGCUGGUCAGCAUCAAUUUCGAUUGUCAUAAAAAGGUCGAGGGGAUGUGGCUCCUUCGGGAGUGUUAUAACCCUUGGCGGAAUGUGGCGAUCGGGAUUGAGGUUUGCACGAUGACGGUUUCCUGGCCUCUCAUCGACGUCCGAAUGAUGGAAGCUUGCUGAAGUUGUUUGGACGUUGGCGAAAAGGUUGGAGCGACCUCAUCGUUAAGGAUGUUGACGUA